Molecule: ribosomal RNA, 253 nt
Filed under: uncultured bacterium
Lineage: Bacteria
Description: partial 16S ribosomal RNA
Rfam family: Bacterial small subunit ribosomal RNA
Source: RNAcentral
UACGAAGGGGGCUAGCGUUGCUCGGAAUCACUGGGCGUAAAGCGCACGUAGGCGGAUUCUUAAGUCAGGGGUGAAAUCCUGGAGCUCAACUCCAGAACUGCCUUUGAUACUGAAGAUCUUGAGUUCGGGAGAGGUGAGUGGAACUGCGAGUGUAGAGGUGAAAUUCGUAGAUAUUCGCAAGAACACCAGUGGCGAAGGCGGCUCACUGGCCCGAUACUGACGCUGAGGCACGAAAGCGUGGGGAGCAAACAGG